GACCAUCAGCUAAGGUCCCCAAAUAUAUACUAAGUUGAAUAAACGAGGUUUGACUGCCUAGACAGCUAGGAUGUUGGCUUGGAAGCAGCCAUUCAUUUAAAGAGUGCGUAACAGCUCACUGGUCGAGCGACAGGGCAUCGAUAAUAAUCGGGCAUCAAGCAUAACACCGAAGCUAUGACAUAUUUAUAUGGGUAGGGGAGCAUUCUAACGGCGCCGAAGCAGUAUCGCGAGGUAUUGUGGAGCGGUUAGAAAAGCAAAUGUAGGCAUAAGUAACGAUAAUGCGGGUGAGAAACCCGCACACCGAUAGACUAAGGUUUCCCCGGCAAUGCUAAUCAGCCGGGGGUUAGUCAGGACCUAAGGCGAACCCGAACGGGGUAGUCGAUGGACAACGGGUUAAUAUUCCCGUACUACCAUACUCAGUGAUGGGGUGACGGAGUAGUGAAAGCGCUGCGUGCUGACGGAAUAGCACGUUGAAGGGUGUAGGUAUUGGUUGAGUAGGCAAAUCCGCUCGACUAGCUGAACCUGAUAGUACCACAAUCCUUCGGGAGCGUGGAUAAUGCGCCUAAUCAGACUUCCAAGAAAAACCUCUAAGCUUCAGAUAUUAGCUGCCCGUACCUCAAACCGACACAGGUAGUCAAGAUGAGAAAUCUAAG
RNAcentral lists this ribosomal RNA (653 nucleotides) under Karlodinium veneficum. RNAcentral describes it as "partial Bacterial large subunit ribosomal RNA". It matches the Rfam family "Bacterial large subunit ribosomal RNA", at positions 1030 to 1685 of the family's 2925-position model. Lineage: Eukaryota; Dinophyceae; Gymnodiniales; Kareniaceae. The record is from RNAcentral.